This 247-nucleotide ribosomal RNA is filed under the name uncultured Oscillospiraceae bacterium. Its description in RNAcentral is "partial 16S ribosomal RNA". It matches the Rfam family "Bacterial small subunit ribosomal RNA", at positions 796 to 1041 of the family's 1533-position model. Lineage: Bacteria; Bacillati; Bacillota; Clostridia; Eubacteriales; Oscillospiraceae. The record is from RNAcentral.
CACGCCGUAAACGAUGAUUACUGGGUGUAGGGGGUAUCGACUCCCUCUGUGCCGAAGCUAACGCGAUAAGUAAUCCACCUGGGGAGUACGGCCGCAAGGCUAAAACUCAAAGGAAUUGACGGGGGCCCGCACAAGCAGUGGAGUAUGUGGUUUAAUUCGAGGCAACGCGAAGAACCUUACCAGGGUUUGACAUCCUGCGCUCGGGGUAGAGAUACCUUAUUCCCUUCGGGGACGCAGAGACAGGUGG